This 1360-nucleotide ribosomal RNA is filed under the name Cylindrospermopsis raciborskii LMECYA 132. RNAcentral's name for it is "bacterial SSU rRNA". It matches the Rfam family "Bacterial small subunit ribosomal RNA". Lineage: Bacteria; Bacillati; Cyanobacteriota; Cyanophyceae; Nostocales; Aphanizomenonaceae. The record is from RNAcentral.
GUCGAACGGGAUGCUUAGGCAUCUAGUGGCGGACGGGUGAGUAACGCGUGAGAAUCUGGCUCCAGGUCGGGGAUAACAGUUGGAAACGACUGCUAAUACCGGAUGUGCCGAGAGGUGAAAGAUUUAUUGCCUGGAGAUGAGCUCGCGUCUGAUUAGCUAGUUGGUGGUGUAAGGGACCACCAAGGCGUCGAUCAGUAGCUGGUCUGAGAGGAUGAUCAGCCACACUGGGACUGAGACACGGCCCAGACUCCUACGGGAGGCAGCAGUGGGGAAUUUUCCGCAAUGGGCGAAAGCCUGACGGAGCAAUACCGCGUGAGGGAGGAAGGCUCUUGGGUCGUAAACCUCUUUUCUCAAGGAAGAAGAAAGUGACGGUACUUGAGGAAUAAGCAUCGGCUAACUCCGUGCCAGCAGCCGCGGUAAUACGGAGGAUGCAAGCGUUAUCCGGAAUGAUUGGGCGUAAAGGGUCUGCAGGUGGAACUGAAAGUCUGCUGUUAAAGAGUUUGGCUUAACCAAAUAAAAGCGGUGGAAACUACAGAACUAGAGUGCGGUAGGGGCAAAAGGAAUUCCUGGUGUAGCGGUGAAAUGCGUAGAUAUCAGGAAGAACACCGGUGGCGAAAGCGUUUUGCUAGACCGUAACUGACACUGAGGGACGAAAGCUAGGGGAGCGAAUGGGAUUAGAUACCCCAGUAGUCCUAGCCGUAAACGAUGGAUACUAGGCGUGGCUUGUAUCGACCCGAGCCGUGCCGGAGCUAACGCGUUAAGUAUCCCGCCUGGGGAGUACGCACGCAAGUGUGAAACUCAAAGGAAUUGACGGGGGCCCGCACAAGCGGUGGAGUAUGUGGUUUAAUUCGAUGCAACGCGAAGAACCUUACCAAGACUUGACAUCCUGCGAAUCCUGGUGAAAGCUGGGAGUGCCUUAGGGAGCGCAGAGACAGGUGGUGCAUGGCUGUCGUCAGCUCGUGUCGUGAGAUGUUGGGUUAAGUCCCGCAACGAGCGCAACCCUCGUUUUUAGUUGCCAGCAUUAAGUUGGGCACUCUAGAGAGACUGCCGGUGACAAACCGGAGGAAGGUGAGGAUGACGUCAAGUCAGCAUGCCCCUUACGUCUUGGGCUACACACGUACUACAAUGCUACGGACAGAGGGCAGCGAGCCAGGGAUGGCAAGCGAAUCCAGAAACCGUAGCUCAGUUCAGAUCGAAGGCUGCAACUCGCCUUCGUGAAGGAGGAAUCGCUAGUAAUUGCAGGUCAGCAUACUGCAGUGAAUUCGUUCCCGGGCCUUGUACACACCGCCCGUCACACCAUGGAAAGUUGGUCACGCCCCGAAGUCAUUACCCCCAACCGAAAGGGAGGGGGGAUGCCUAA